GACGAACGCUGGCGGCGUGCUUAACACAUGCAAGUCGAACGGAAAGGCCCUGCUUUUGUGGGGUGCUCGAGUGGCGAACGGGUGUGUAACACGUGUGUAACCCGCCCCUGACUUUGGGAUAACUCCAGGAAACUGGGGCUAAUACCGGAUAUGAGCUCUUGCUGCAUGGUGGGGGUUGGAAAGUUUCGGCGGUUGGGGAUGGGUUCGCAGCUUAUCAGCUUGUUGGUGGGGUAGUGGCUUACCAAGGGUUUGACGGGUAGCCGACCUGGGAGGGGGACCGGGGACAUUGGGACUGAGAUACGGACCAGAAGCCUACGGGAGGCAGCGGUGGGGAAUAUUGCACAAUGGGCGGGAGCCUGAUGCAGCGACGCCGCGUGCGGAAUGACGGCCUUCGAGUUGUAAACCGCUUUCGCCUGUGACGAAGAGUGAGUGACGGUAAUGAGUAAGGAAGCACCGGCUAACUACGUG
This 468-nucleotide ribosomal RNA is filed under the name uncultured bacterium. RNAcentral describes it as "partial 16S ribosomal RNA". It matches the Rfam family "Bacterial small subunit ribosomal RNA", at positions 28 to 507 of the family's 1533-position model. The record is from RNAcentral.